UACGUAGGGGGCUAGCGUUGUCCGGAAUCAUUGGGCGUAAAGAGCGCGUAGGCGGCCCGGUAAGUCCGCUGUAAAAGUCCAGGGCUCAACCCUGGAAAGCCGGUGGAUACUGUCGGGCUCGAGUCCGGAAGAGGCGAGUGGAAUUCCUGGUGUAGCGGUGGAAUGCGCAGAUAUCAGGAGGAACACCGGUGGCGAAGGCGGGUCUCUGGGCCAUUACUGACGCUGAGGAGCGAAAGCGUGGGGAGCGAACAGG
Molecule: ribosomal RNA, 253 nt
Filed under: uncultured bacterium
Lineage: Bacteria
Description: partial 16S ribosomal RNA
Rfam family: Bacterial small subunit ribosomal RNA
Source: RNAcentral